Neotoma lepida (desert woodrat) is the source of this 70-nucleotide non-coding RNA. The record is from Rfam. Lineage: Eukaryota; Metazoa; Chordata; Mammalia; Rodentia; Cricetidae.
GGAGAGAUGGCUCAGUGGUUAAGAGCACUGGCUGCUCUUCCAGAAGACCUGGGUUCAAUUCCCAGCACCC